This 1457-nucleotide ribosomal RNA is filed under the name metagenome. RNAcentral's name for it is "bacterial SSU rRNA". It matches the Rfam family "Bacterial small subunit ribosomal RNA". The record is from RNAcentral.
AGAGUUUGAUCCUGGCUCAGGAUGAACGCUGGCGGCGUGCUUAAUACAUGCAAGUCGAACGGAGAGUGUAGCAAUACAUUCUCAGUGGCGAACGGGUGAGUAACGCGUUGGUGACCUGCCCCGAAGAGGGGGAUAACAGUUCGAAAGGACUGCUAAUACCCCGUGUUGUCACCGGGAUUAGAUGCCUGGUGACUAAAGGAGUAAUCCGCUUUGGGAGGGACCUGCGUCCCAUCAGCUAGUUGGUAAGGUAACGGCCUACCAAGGCUAUGACGGGUAGGGGGCCUGAGAGGGUGAUCCCCCACACUGACACUGAAAUACGGGUCAGACACCUACGGGUGGCAGCAGUAGGGAAUAUUGGUAAUGGGCGAAAGCCUGAACCAGCAACGUCGCGUGUGCGAUGAAGGUCUUCGGAUUGUAAAGCACUUUUUGAGGGGAUGAGAAUGGACAGUACCCUCAGAAUAAGUCUCGGCUAACUACGUGCCAGCAGCCGCGGUAACACGUAGGAGACAAGCGUUAUUCGGAUUUACUGGGCGUAAAGCGCGUGCAGGCGGUUCGGUAAGUUGGAUGUGAAAGCUCCUGGCUCAACUGGGAGAGGUCGUUCAAUACUGUCGGGCUCGAGGAUGGGAGAGGGAGGUGGAAUUCCGGGUGAAGUGGUGAAAUGCGUAGAUAUCCGGAGGAACACCAGUGGCGAAAGCGGCCUCCUGGCCCAAACCUGACGCUCAGACGCGAAAGCUAGGGGAGCGAACGGGAUUAGAGACCCCGGUAGUCCUAGCUGUAAACUAUGUAGACUUGGCGUCGGUGGGGUAAAAUCCAUCGGUGCCGUAGCUAACGCGAUAAGUCUACCGCCUGGGGACUACGGCCGCAAGGUUAAGACUCAAAGGAAUUGACGGGGCCCCGCACAAGCAGCGGAGCGUGUGGUUUAAUUCGAUACACGAAGAACCUUACCAGGGUUUGACAUGUAGGUGGUAGGGACCCGAAAGGUGAACGACCCGCAAGGGAGCCUACACAGGUGCUGCAUGGCUGUCGUCAGCUCGUGUCGUGAGAUGUUCGGUUAAGUCCGCUAACGAGCGCAACCCUCGCUGCGUGUUACAAGUGUCACACGGGACCGCCGGUCUUAAGCCGGAGGAAGGUGGGGAUGAUGUCAAGCCAGCAUGGCCUUUAUGUCCUGGGCUACACACACGCUACAAUGGCCGGUACAAUAGGUUGCUAAGCCGCGAGGCGGAGCCAAUCCCUAAAAUCGGUCUCAGUUCAGAUCGUAGGCUGCAACUCGCCUGCGUGAAGAUGGAGUUGCUAGUAACCGCAGGUCAGCUAUACUGCGGUGAAUACGUUCCCGGGGCUUGUACACACCGCCCGUCACGUCAUGGGAGCUGGCAACACCUGAAGCCGGUAUCCUAACCCGUAAGGGAGGGAGCCGUCGAGGGUGGGGUCGGUGACUGGGACGAAGUCGUAACAAGGUA